This 1271-nucleotide long non-coding RNA is filed under the name Canis lupus familiaris (dog). Its description in RNAcentral is "lncRNA (ENSCAFG00030003470.1)". Lineage: Eukaryota; Metazoa; Chordata; Mammalia; Carnivora; Canidae. The record is from RNAcentral.
UAGAUACCAAAGCUCAGCUGUUCUCUGGGAAGGUCUGUGGAGUAAUCUCUCUCAUGUUGACCCUCUGUUUGCAGAGCCCUCACUAACUAACCACAGUGUGCUGCUUCAUUCCAUGAUCUGGGGUUCAUCCACAGUGAGAUCAACACUGAUGACAACAGGCAGACUUCUCAGUGUGAAAGAAUGAAGAGGACAUUUGGGAACCCAGAUAUCCUACAACUGCAAGAUAUGAAAAUAAAUCAGCAAGGGGCUGCUCUCAAUGCCUCCUUAUCAUAUGGCUUCUCUGGAUGGCCUCCUGGACCCUUCCAUUUGUUCCCAGACUUUACAACUCCAGGCUGGUAAAAGUGUAAUGGCAACACCAUAUCACUGAAAGACAGCUUCUAUGACUACUUUUUUUCCUUAAAUGUGUUAAGUAUGAACUCCAUGAUUUCAAAGUCCUUAUACAGAGCUUGCCCCAUAAGCACUGUAUUUAUCACUUCUAGGAUCCCAAGGACAAAGAAGAAAUAAUAGGCAACUUAAUUAUUCAGGCCAGAACUGUGCUUAAACUUCACAUAACCAUACCACCUAGUGCAGAACCUCUGCUGACUAGAUGCUCAUUAAUACAUGUUGAAUUUAAAUAGAUUGAAUAAAAUCUGGUCUUUAUCCUCUGUGCUCACUCUCUCGUCUCUUGUUCCAAUUAUUCCAUAAAUAUGUUUUUCCCUUGCUUUUAGAAAUUUGGCAGGUGGCACUUUAAUUUAAUCUGUUCUUAAAUAUUCUGACUCCAACAGAAAGGAAAGCCAUAUGUGUAUUGUGGUAGGCUAAGACCUGCAGACAUAAAGCAAAUUUGGUUCUGCAAGUGUCUGUUGAUCACCUACUAUGUGUUUAGUGUCCUACACAGCAUAGUUAUGGUCAAAUACUAUCUAUAAACAGAAUAAAUUAUUUUAGACCCCUAGAACUCAGGAAAUCAAGACUUUGAUAUUUAGAAAGUGACUAUUUCAGAGACUCUUCCUAUUUCAGAGAAGGAAUCUAAAAAAUGAGUUGGUUCUAAUUCAAGACCUGUCCCAUACUCUAAACUUGAAUGGCAACCUUCACAGAUGGUAUUUUGCCUGUUUGAACAUACCCUGGUUAGGAAUUUAACUGGCUUGUAGGAAACACAGGUCUUCUGAUCAAUAUUUUCCCUCCCUAGUCUAUAAUGGCUGUCCCACCCAUGGUCCCUACAGGUCUCUGUGUCAUAGGAGAAGUAAGAUUGGCCUUUUGCCUUCCCUUCCUUAGAAGCCAGGCCACAAUAAGAACAG